CAUAUUCCUAAAAGCCUUGCAUAUAUUUCAUCUCCAUAUAUUUCAUUCCGUGGAUUUAAGGGUGAGAGAGCAACUCCCAAUCUCUCGUUCACGCGUUUCUCUCUCCUUCUCCGUGCUUCUCCUCUCCUUCCCGCGCGAGCGCCGAAAUUUCUGUUGGGAGCAUGCAUGCGGGUCAUCGUGAUCUCUCUCUGUGCACAUGAAAGGAGAAAAAACGGGAAUUUCAGUUGAUAGUUUAACAGUAGGUCCCACUUUUAAUUUUUCGGAAUUAAAUUUAGGCUAUCUCUUGGAGGAAAAAGUUUUUUCACUUCCUAUUUUUAUUUUAGGAAACCCCAAUAUCAUAUUUUAGAAAUAGAUUAUUGCUAAUUUGUUGGUGAUGCUCUUACCUUCCGGACUUCAAUCCUUCUUUUUUCUCCUAUUUUUAUGCAACUGUUUCGCCAGAGAAAAAAUUGAAACAACAUAAUUUAAUUAUGUUCUGUUUUUUCAAGUAGUUCUCUUUAAAUUCCAAUUUGUGUUAUUUGAUUGGUACUGAGAAGUGAGAAGCAUUGCCAUAGAGAUGUGAAAAAAACUACCAAAAAUAUUUGAAGCGGGUAAUUUUGCUAUAAUACAACAUUACAACCCCUUAAUUCAUCACUAGAAUUAUUGUCACACGUCUAGAUUUUUUCUUUGCCAAAUAGUUUUGGCACCAAAUGAACAAUCCAGUAACAUACGCACCACUGAUGAUAUAUUUUGUUAUAGUCGAGGAACUCCAAUACGUCGGGCAUAAUUGAUGGGCUGUCUUACACCCCACUGAUGUGACUGCUAGUGCACUUCAAUGAAUCAAUUAUAAAUAAGUUCGUAAAGCUGUCUCAAGAAAUAUUUAUGACCAGCGGAUGUUGAAAACAAUCCAGACACUUAAACUAUAUGUAAAUAUAAACAAUGAGACGGUAUUCUACAGAUAUUCAGGGUGAGUUGUCUCUUUAGCUAUAAUAUUUUGAAGUAGUGUCGAAUAAUGAGCCUAGCUCAUUUUCAAAAGAGAAUAAUAUAUCCUUACCAUGAAUGUCUACUCUAUAUUACAAAUCGACUCAAAAGUUUUAAUUAAACACAUGUUUUGAUUACCUCUAUUUUCUCUUUGUCCUUCCGAAAGACACCAACUAUGAGGGUGCCAAUGUCGAUAGUGAACUAAGCAUUAAAGUUAUGUUGUAUGAUGGUCUUUACAUGCACGGCUACGUUGAGGCAGGACCCAUAUUUCAAGGAAGCAUAGAAGAAAGCCUUGGAGCCUAUGGUCGGAUUGGGUAUUCAUGUUUAAUUUUAAAGUAAAUUCCCUAUGUACCCUUGAAAACUCACUCAAUCCUUUUCAUAUCCCUAAAAUUUAUCCGAUCCCUUCUAUACCCUUGAAAUUUCAACUCGAUCCCUUCCAUGCCCCUACUGUUAUAUUUUCCUUCAUUUCACUAUUAUGUUUGGUUGCAAAUAUCUUUUUUCCCUUGAUGCUUUAGGUUUGAACAUAAGCUUGAAAAAUGAUUUAUGAAACUAAUGAGAGUAAAUAAUUGGUGCAGAAAUUUUUGAUAUAAAUUUUGAAGAUAAAACAAAUGUAAUAAAUUAAAAUUUUUAUUUGAAAUUCUAAUAGGACAAUGGAUAUUUUUGAUCUGGAGCAUUCAUAAAAAAAUUAUUGUGAGCAUUGGUAGUCCUAUCUUUGUAAGAAUGAUUAUCAUUUUUAUGACUUUCUUUUAAAAAAUAAAUACAUAUUUUUUAUUUCUUUAUCUAAAAAUAAAUUUUGUGAUAAAUAACACAUCACACAACAAACUCAUUACUAUAAUAGUCUGAUGCGGCAAACGUUUAUAUUUUUAAUAAUGUAAUUCAUGAAUUUCUAUGUUCAUCCAAAGGUAAAAUGGUUAUUUUUAUAAAAAAUUAGACGGCCAACUAAUGGUCAUCUGAAGGGAGAGGUAUGGAAGAGAUCAAAAUCAAAUUUUAGAGGUAUAGGAGGAAGUAAGCAGGGACGUAGAAGGGAUUAGCUGAAAUUUCAGAGGUAUAGAAGGGAUUUUCUCUUAAUUUUAGCGGUGUUAACCUAUUAAUAGGUAGAAACAGGAUUUUUAAAAUAUUUAUAUAUGAAUUUGGAAAUAAACACUUAGAUAAGUACUGGAGAUAUAUUUUUUAUGUAUUAAUAAUAUAUUAUGACUGUUUUCUUGGUAUUGAUACAAUUUCAUAUAUUAAAUCAGUUACAUCUAUUAAAUUGGCAAACAUUUUUUAAAACAAUGAUAAUAAUUCGUGGUAGCAAUAUACAAAUUUAUAUAUAACCGGGACAAAGUGAUUUUUGUCUGAAUCUGGGAGACAUUCUAUCAUUUAGGAUAUUAAAGUUUGUGCUCUAUUUCACCGCGGACAUAUUUUUUAUUAUAAGGUAAUUUAUGGUGACUAUGGUGAGGUAUGACUUCUUUCAAUACUUUCUUAAAAUAAUGAAUAAGAUGCCACGCGUUCGUGCGGGCUUAUCUUUUUAGUUUUUAGAUAAUAGUAACAUGGAACAGUCGGAGUUAAUUGAGUUAUUUUAGCUCUAGGCUUCAGCAAUUCCGAAAAUCGCAAAAAUCCAUGGUGUAGUGUCAGUACCGUGCAUUUGGCUGUAUAUAAUCGCAGCCGUACGGACGCUUGAGUUUUUUUACACCUUUUUCAACUACACUCGUAUUAUUUUGAGAAUUUAUAAAUUCAGGGGGCUAAAAACACAGAAGAAACAUCGUAGAAAAUACAAUAUUGAAGACAAACCGUAGAAAGAGAUUUGUUAUCGAUGUCCAACCGAAACCUACGACCCUCCACGGGCUAAGUUGUACGCUAGUCGUACACACUAUGCUAGAGUUGUCUUAUGGUUACAACAUGUGUGCCUCGGUAUUUAACAAAAGACCUAGACAUAGUUUGGCUCUAACUGUAUCCUACGCAUAUUAAAAUUCAAAAUCUUAAACUUAUACACAUAUUCCACACAAACUCUCAUAUAUAGUCUACCAUAGUUGAAGUUAUUCCACACAAACUCUCACAUAUAGUCUACCAUAGUUGAAGUGAUGGGUAAUAAGUUUUAAAGAUAAU
RNAcentral lists this small RNA (3042 nucleotides) under Oryza sativa Japonica Group (Japanese rice). RNAcentral's name for it is "sRNA Os10g0193601". Lineage: Eukaryota; Viridiplantae; Streptophyta; Magnoliopsida; Poales; Poaceae. The record is from RNAcentral.